Pyrus x bretschneideri (Chinese white pear) is the source of this 1437-nucleotide long non-coding RNA. RefSeq lists it as uncharacterized. The record is from RefSeq and is a predicted model, not a curated record. The transcript has 3 exons. NCBI's taxonomy places the organism in Eukaryota, Viridiplantae, Streptophyta, Magnoliopsida, Rosales, Rosaceae.
AAGAUAACAUCAUAAAUGUGAAUAAGUUACAAAACAAAAAAACUAAGAAAUACACAGUUGGAAUGCCAAUUAAAUUUAUAGAUGAAUCCUUUUUCGAGGAUUAAUUUGAAACUUACGAACUAUUGCUGUCAAACAAGUUCCUGUAGAAUCACAAGUUGAAAAGUUAAGCUUGUUCCACCAGACAUAAACAACAAAACUCAAGCUAAUGAAGAAAUUCUUACAAGCCCACCCUUGGUUGACAACUUGUGUUCCCUAUGGUGAGGUUGUUAAAUGAAAGAUCACUGCGCAAAAACGGCUACGAUGUAAACUAAUUUACAGAUUUGAUAUGCGAAUAGAAAUAGCUUACUAAGUAAUUAAAGAGUAGGAAAUAAGAUGGAUUGACCGUCGUUUUUUAUAUCAAUUCGAGUAGUAGAUAACAUAAAUUUCUAAUUGUAGACGUCGUAAAUACCUUACUAAGUUAUUAGAGGGAAGCAUUUGAAAGCAAAGCUUACAUAUUGCCCAUCCGCCAAGCAGGCAUGAGUCCGGUCAGCAUAAAAUUCCAUACUAAGUAACUAAAGAGUAGCAUUUGGAAGAGAAGCUUACACGAUUUUUUUCGACCAAGUAGGCACGGGUCCAGUCAACAAGUUUCCAGUUAAGAAUCUAGACAUAAUGAACAUAGAAAAAAUCUUUCCGUUAAAAAUUAUGAAAUUAUGAGAUUUUAAUAAAAUCUUUCUGUGCUGAUAAAAAUUACUUUAGUCUAAAGAAGAGUGCGAAAUUGCAGUGUACAAAUAAAUAGUGACUUGAGCCGAAUUUCACUUUAUUCACAAAACUGCCACCGCCUCUUUACUGCCGUUCAGAUUGGAAAUUUCAAUUUAUUUACGAAAUUGCCACCGCUUUGCACAGUGGAAGAGGGCCCACGCGUCAAUCAUCGUGGAUUGCUCUGCUCCGACUACUUUUCCGUCCGUUUCCAUCCCCUUUUCAUUCCCUCUUUUCCUCUCCCGACUCUCUCUCUCUGUAACCAUCCAUCAAAUCCUCCCAUCCCUCCCUUUUUUCACUCUGUAAUUUCCCUCAAAUCCCCCGUCGAUUCCCUCUCUCGCCAUUCUUAGUCUCGCCAGCAAUCUCGCGAGAUUAAGGCUGCACACGAGCGGAUCCAAAGAUCAAACCUGUGAUCUUCAAGUCGACACACCCAGAGGACUCCCAAAAUAUAAGAGAUGUCCCCAAGCAGCGGCGAUCAGAGAUGCUGAUCGACUCUCUGGUUUGCAUAUUUAAUAUACAACUUUUCUAUCUCCGAGCGGAGCGGGUGUAAGAUUCAAAGGCUGUCGAAGUCGCUCGAUUAAGAAGGGCUUUCAAUUUUGGGAAGGGUACGUGAUGUCUCAUCUGAUGAAGUUAGGCCCAUGUUCUUUGUAACCAUCAUUUAAAAAAUUAUCUUGAAUUAGCAAAUAAAUAUAAACACAUGGA